RNAcentral lists this transfer RNA (57 nucleotides) under Panagrellus redivivus. Its description in RNAcentral is "tRNA-Leu". The record is from RNAcentral. Lineage: Eukaryota; Metazoa; Nematoda; Chromadorea; Rhabditida; Panagrolaimidae.
GCAUCUUUAGUGUAAUGUAACAUUUUAGUUUUAGAAACUAAAGAUUGAAGUGAUGUU